GCACCCAUAGCUCAACCGGAUAGAGCGUCAGCUUCCGGAGCUGAAGGUUAGAGGUUCGAAUCCUCCUGGGUGUACCA
Molecule: transfer RNA, 77 nt
Filed under: Candidatus Saccharimonadota bacterium
Lineage: Bacteria; Candidatus Saccharimonadota
Description: tRNA-Arg
Rfam family: tRNA
About the family: Transfer RNA (tRNA) molecules are approximately 80 nucleotides in length. Their secondary structure includes four short double-helical elements and three loops (D, anti-codon, and T loops). Further hydrogen bonds mediate the characteristic L-shaped molecular structure. tRNAs have two regions of fundamental functional importance: the anti-codon, which is responsible for specific mRNA codon recognition, and the 3' end, to which the tRNAs corresponding amino acid is attached (by aminoacyl-tRNA synthetases). tRNAs cope with the degeneracy of the genetic code in two manners: having more than one tRNA (with a specific anti-codon) for a particular amino acid; and 'wobble' base-pairing, i.e. permitting non-standard base-pairing at the 3rd anti-codon position.
Source: RNAcentral